RNAcentral lists this transfer RNA (75 nucleotides) under Clostridiales bacterium GWB2_37_7. RNAcentral describes it as "tRNA-Gly". It matches the Rfam family "tRNA". Rfam says of the family: Transfer RNA (tRNA) molecules are approximately 80 nucleotides in length. Their secondary structure includes four short double-helical elements and three loops (D, anti-codon, and T loops). Further hydrogen bonds mediate the characteristic L-shaped molecular structure. tRNAs have two regions of fundamental functional importance: the anti-codon, which is responsible for specific mRNA codon recognition, and the 3' end, to which the tRNAs corresponding amino acid is attached (by aminoacyl-tRNA synthetases). tRNAs cope with the degeneracy of the genetic code in two manners: having more than one tRNA (with a specific anti-codon) for a particular amino acid; and 'wobble' base-pairing, i.e. permitting non-standard base-pairing at the 3rd anti-codon position. Lineage: Bacteria; Bacillati; Bacillota; Clostridia; Eubacteriales. The record is from RNAcentral. RNAcentral also lists the same sequence under 2 other names.
GCGGAUGUAACUCAGUGGUAGAGUGUCACCUUGCCAAGGUGAAAGUCGCGAGUUCGAAUCUCGUCUUCCGCUCCA